AUACAUGGGAGCAUGGAUGGGCAUGCUUAAUCUACUUUCACUUUGUGAUGCAGUCAGCUUGGGCUAUUAUGUUCUCAAUCAGCACCUCAAUUUUCCGCGUUUUCUUCUUUUCUUUCCGUUAUCCUUGAAAGAGUUGGCAGAGGGGUAAUAGUGUAGGUCAUGGCCUAGGGUGAUGACUUGCUUUGUGGCUCACUCUGUUUUACUGGUUCAAACCAUUUUUCUACAUGGACAAAGCUAUAGCAGAGGUUGAAGAUGUGCGUGGAAUUUCGCCCCUGUUUCUAGUUCUAAUGAAUCAUAACUAGGUUAUCUAACUGAAAAAAGAGCAUACUUAGUCAAAUCAGUAAUCGGGCGAGGAGAUCCCUAAUUCCUUUUCCUAUAUUUCCUGUUCUCCCCCUAUCAAGACCAUUCCAAAUAUCUUAAGAGAAAACAUAAAGAAAUACUUACAGAUAGUACCUUGUAAACAGGACCAAAUCCACCCUCUCCAAGUUUAUUUUCAAAGGAAAAGUUAUUUGUAGCCUCUUUGAUCUCAGCAAAACUGAAUACUCGCAGAUUAGGAGCAUUACUGUUACAAUUUUCAACAUCUGAUGAUUUGCUUCCUACUUCAUGUAGUGAUAUUUUACCUAAAUUCUUGGUCCCUGUAACCAGAAUGGGAAAAUUUUGAUAAAACAUUAGUCUCUGCACAUCAUAUAAAAUGGGAAAAAUGUUCUCAUAGUUACGGUUAACUAAAGUUACCUAUCGCUUUGAGUACUCUGCUUCGUGAGUAACAACACAUUAUGGAGCCUGCUACAAGAAUAAGUACAGCAAUUGGAACCAGAAUUUUUACCAAUAAUUCCUGCUUCUUGUGAUGAUCUUUGUCAUCAUCUUGAGCUGUAACAGAAUUGAUCACAUUAAUGGGAAUGAACCAUGAAGAGAUCUUUACCAUCUGCUCUUAUAGUUUCCAAGAUGAUUGUAAUGGGAAAAAUACAAGGAUGUCUUAUUGUUGUUCUCUUUACUCAAAAGGUUACUGCAUUAAGAGAAGCAUCUUAUGAGCAAACCAUGAAGAUCAAUUUUGCCACCCACCAAACCAACACAGACUCUGGUUCAAGUUUCAGGUUGGUCCCUUAAUACCUACUUGACCCAUUAAUAGAAAGAGAUGAAAAUGACGAAUAAAUCAGAAACCAUUACUAACCUGCCUGAGAAAGCGCCCAAUUGUCGUCGUUGCUAACCUGGAACACAUUGUAACCAAGUAGCUUCUUCUCCUUGGCAUAAGAAAUUUUAGCUUCUUCUCCUAACAAAACCCAACAUUACAAUUUUGUGGAAUUUUCGAUUUUGACUUCCCCAUCGGGCUAAGACAAGCAUUGACUUUGUGCUUUAGGCAUUGACCAUGAGAUUAAAUAUGCCACUCCUUUUCAAAUGGGAUUAGCGAGUAAAAGGCCUAGAGCCGAAUGUGAUCUUAAAAACCAUUGCAUUCCUGAAAAACAUCUCAAUAUCAUAUUUGUCUAGGAGAAAAACAAAAAUUGUAUUUUCAUUAUGGUCUUAUAAAACACUGAUUACUUAACUAUGUUCAUAUCACGGGAAAAGCAAAAGGGGCGAUAGGUCGGGUUUUACUCCAAUGACUUGAAAUGCGUUUGUGGACGAUGCUCUCUUCAUUCAUUUGUGAGUUUUCCCAUGUGUUAAAAUUUAGUGUUCAUAAUUGUUGUAAUAUGUACAUGAUUAACAUAAAUGCCUCUAUUGGGGUUCACUGAGCCACUCAAACUCAGAACCUUUCUGCCUCAGUACUGAAGUUCUCAGCGAGGCAAGACUUGGGAGAUUGUUGUAACAUUGACUGAACCAAUUUCAUGGCCUGAUGCAGAUUUACCGUCUGCCUCAACUUCAUCUCUUUUGGCUGCAAAGGCAGGCCUUCUAGGAGUAGCAAUGGCUGCAGUUUCGUUUUUGAUCAUCGAAUCGACUUCUAACACGGACGGUCUAUCGGCUGGAUUUUCCUGGACGCAUAGCAGUGCUACUUGCAUGCAUCGUGUCAGUUUACACGAAGAACAUGCAUCAUCCAGUGAUGGAUCCAUGAACUCCAUGCUCUUACCAUCUUUCCAUAGCUCAUAUGCCUGAAAUAAUUUAAUGUUAAUUAGCAAGCCAUGUUGUAGAGCAUAUACAGAAUUUGAAAUCAAAAUGAAGUGAGGGAAGUCUCAAAGUAACUUACAUAUUCAAGAAGGUGUAAAUUUUGAUCCAAACCAUAGAAACAUGUGUUCUUCUUGCCACUGAUAAUUUGUAAUAAGAGAACUCCAAAGCUAUAAACAUCAGACUUCACAGAAUAGGUACCCUUUUGCACGUAUUCGGGGGAGACAUAGCCACUGCAUUGAAUGAACAAAUGGGAUUGUCUGAAUUUUUCCCAGAAUUUGAGGGGAAAAAUCGAUUUUGAAAGGAAGUUUUACUUACUAUGUCCCAACAAUUCGGCCGGUGUUAGCUUCAUUCUCAUCUUUUUGGAAAAUUCUAGCUAUCCCAAAAUCUGCAAUCUUUGGCUUCAUUUCACCGUCUAGUAAAAUGUUGCUAGCCUUUAAAUCUCUGUGAAUUAUCCUUAGUCUUGAGUACUCCUGUAGAUAUAGAAGCCCCUGAGUGAUCCCUUCAAUGAUGUGUAUGCGUUUUCCCCAAUCUAAGAGUACCUGUCCCUCUGGGUCUACAUCAGAUGGAUUUAUGAGCAAAUAGUUAUAUUUCUUAUCUAAACAAUAAAAUGAAUCAACAUUGGCUUCUUUCAGGCUUAAGGGUAGUUUAGCCCCUCAUAUCAGAACUUGUCUUUAUAGGCUGAGAACUUCCAUCCAAUUUCUAAAAUGAGAAACAGAUGGGUGUUCCUGAAUUGACCUUAUUCCUUGGAUCCUUUGGUUUGCCAAUGAGAUGAAUUGUGCAUGGAGCAGAGAGUGAUCAUCAAAAUGGUAGGAAAGUCUCAUGCUGUUUGGGGGAAGGCAACCCCUGCAGUAAGCAAAGCUGCCAGGAUGCAUAAGAUGAGUAGGUCUUUUGGGGAAUGUUUUCAAAAGCAGACUCAAAAGUGAUUUUUGGGAGUAAUUGUUAAAAACACCUGUUAAUUAAUUUGAGGAAUAAAAUUUUGUUUAAAAACCCAAAUAUAAAAGCAGUUAACUUCUGGACUUUUUCUCCGUACACCCAUUUAUAAUACAAAUUUUUUUGAAGGAUUAAAUUUCAUAUUUUUAAUAAUUAAGUUUCUCAAACUUGUUUUAUGAAUCAAAAAAUUAAGUCAUGUUUGGUAAUUAUUUUUUAAAAUAGCAUUUUUCUAUUUGCGUUUUCAUUUAUUUUUUGAAAAUUGUUUUAAAAAAUAAUUAUAAUAACAUAAAAAAUAAAUAAAAAUAAAACAUUACAUCUAAAAAUUAUUUUUAAAAUAUAUUUAAAAGUCUAAAAAAUAAAUUUAAAAUAUUUUAAGUACCCAAACAAAAAUUUAUUCUAUAAAAAUAUCAAACAACAGUUUUCCAAUUUAUUAUAAAAACUGUUUUUCAUUUUGGUUUUCAAAUUUAGACACCAGACAAACAGGGUAUUACUUCCUACUCUAAAAAAAAAAAAAAAAAAUUUGUUUUAAGACAGUUCCCAAACAUAUUACUGGACUUCUAGCAUUCCAAAUGAAAAAGCCCACAAAGAGGACUUUGGUUUCUACUGCUGAGGAUUAUCAAAGGGAAAUUGAUUUGCCAUUCUUUUUCAGGUCCCUGAUUCUAAGGGCAUGGUGACCACUACUAGUAGGAAGUUCCUUCUUAUGCCAUCGCCCUUUAAGAUACCGAGAAACUACAAAACUUCAGGCCCCUCAACAUGUUCUCACUAACUACAACUGGAAGGUUAAAAGAAUACACGUACCAAAGAGGUAGAAAUCCAAGCUUUUGUUUGGCAUGCAUUCGUAGAUGAGCAUCUUCUCUUCCCUCUGGGUGCAAAAACCCAAAAGUUUAACAAGAUUCACAUGCUGUAGUGUUGCAGUGAGUGUAACCUCAUUCUUGAACUCCUCAAGCCCUUGAUGAGAAGUUUUUGAAAGUCUCUUCACUGCUAUUUCCUGCCCUUUCGGUAAUUUACCCUACAAAACCACAUCCAUGGUCACCAUUUUCUGCUAAAAAUUAAGCUACAAUUCAGCCCAUUUUAGGUUCAAUUCCUAUGCAAGUAACAAAUGUGUUAUUACUCAACAGAACUCGGCCAUGAUUAGAUCUCAACAGGCUCUGAAUUUGGUUCUGGACAUCAGGUAAACCAGCUGCUACUAACCUUCAAAAAUGUCUUAGUAAAGGAGCUACUACAAAAAGGUUAGACAAAUAAAAUUAGAUUAUUCAUAAUUUUCUGGAAAGCUAAAAAAUGUCUAUAUAGUAAAAGAACCCAAAGAAUUUUUAAUGAGGUUGAUUAUACAUGGGCAGGGUGAAUAUGUAGGCAACUAAAGAUUUUAGACCUUCCAUGUCCCCUGCUAUCCUAUUGUUCCAUGAUUUCAUAUAUAUAAGUUUCUCUUAACCAACUAAACACGUUUUAAAACCGUGAGGACCCUUUCGACCAAAAGCUGAGAGAGGGUUGUUACAAUUGAAAAAAAAAAUUGACAAAAACAAAUAGGGUAUAUUACCAGACAUUACCUUGUAAACAGGUCCAAAUCCACCCUCCCCAAGCCUAUUUUCACUUGAAAAGUUAUUCGUAGCCACUUUAAUGGUACUGAAGCUGAACACUUGCAGAUUAGGAUCAUCACUGUUGGCAGAUGAUAUAUUGCUUCCCAGUUUAAUAGGCAGUGACUUUGGUCUGGUCUGCAUCAUGACUAAGCAAAAAGAGCAAAAGAAAAUAGGAAAAAUGAUACUCAUAAAAAGAUUUGUUAAUCUUGGCAAGAAAUAGUUGGAAAACUUACCUUUUAUAUUGAAUAUUAGUCUCCCUUUCCAUCGAUGACACAUUAUGGAACUUACUAGGAGAACAACUAUAGCAAUUGGAAGCAAAAUAAUUACCAACAAUCGCUGCUUGUUUCCUUCAUCUUGAUCUUCACCUUGAGCUGCAAAAGUAGGAGGCUACAUGAAAACUUUUUUUGCUUUCAGUUUGUUGAACCUCUCAACACUUCAUUAGAUGUCCUUAAUUAUAAUUCUCUGUUGUAGAAAUGCUAAUUAAUAUGCUAUACACUUGAGCAACCAAAGGGUCUUCAGGGAUUGAAUAGAACAAUAUGUGAUAACCUUCAACCAUGUGGAGUCAUUAGAAAUGUCUUCGGAAAAAGAGUGACAGGGUUGAUACAGUAAGCACUAAAAAAUAGUAAUUGGAAGGUAGCUUUCCUUCAAUUUUCUCAAUGAAAGAUGGAUGAAAGAGAGUGAUGUUGUGUGUCAACCAGUUAGGUUCACCAAUCUUCAGUCUGUAAUUCAAAUUAAUGCAGCAGCCUGCAGUCUCAAUCUCUUCUUAAUUUCUUGAUGGCCAAUGAAAGGAAAUUGCUGAAAAAUCAGCAAACCCAAAUUCCAUGAAAAUUCAUUUCUCGGAGAACAGUUUUGAGCAAAUGAAGACUGCACGGAGUUAACCUGGUGUGGACCCGCAUUUUAUCCUAACUCUCUAUUUUUCUAAAGGUCGACCCUGAAGAACCGACAGGGGAGGCUAGUGAAUGCCUAAAUGUUGCCACUAAACUCUCAUCAUGGAGUAUAGGAAAACACUAAGCUAUUCUUUGCACAUGGGCGGCUAGAAAUAUAUGGUGAAAUAUAGAUAGUUGAAUAAAGGUAGAAUUAUAUGAUACCAAGCUAUAAAGGAAUAAAAUUGAAGUACAAUGAGAUAAGAUCAAGAUAAAAAGUAAUGGACCUCGGUAUAGAUGAAUAAGACCAGAGCAUAAAUCAAUAGGACCUGGGUUAGACAGGUAGCAUGAUGGCACAGAGCUGGGUUCAAGUCUUUGAGACCUUCUCCACCUACUUCUAGCACAAAGAAGACAAAGGGAUGACUAUAUGGAAUACAAAUGGCAAACUAUUACCCACCUGCCAGAGACAGCACCCAAUUCUCAUCAUGAGAGACUUCCCACACAUUGUAACCAAGCAGCCCCUUCUCCUUUGCAUAAGAAACCUUAGUUCUUAUAGCCUCAACAUCAUCAUAACCAAUCCAUGUUGCUCCAAAGCUGCAGUAAUUCACUACAUAUGUAGCAUUAUACACAGAAGCACAUUCAUAACUUCGAAUGAACCAUUUGAUGUAUUUAUAGCUCACAGAUCCGUCUGGUGUCAUGGCCAAACCUGAUGCAGGUGCUCCAAUACCAUUUUCCUUGGGGUUCAAGAGUGUCCAUGCAUACCCAUGGUACGCCAAACCCAAAACCAGCUUCCCAGCCGGUAACCCUCUGCCGAUCCAUUCCCCUAUACCAAAAUCAGUAUUAACCCGACUCACUGGGUCGUAUAGAGCAGCAUGGGCAUGUGUGAAGUUCACACUUGAAGGCAGAUAAUAGUCAUAAGCCGCAACAUGAACCCAAUCCAUGUUCCUUCGUAUCGAAUCAACCUCAUAACUCACUGACCCAAGAGUUGGCAAGUAAUGAACUUCCAGUGUCAGAAUCAGUGGUGACUGACUAGGGUCUCUUGACUCAGAAUUUACUGCUGCUCGCCAUUCAUCAAAGAGGAUUCCCAUGUUGAUCGUGUUGGAUACUGUUCUUGGCCAAUAACCACUAAGGUCUAGACCCUGGAACCCAUAGAGCCUAGCUGUUUUUAUUGAAGAUUCAAUGAAGGACUUCCUGUAUGAAGGCUGGCUGAUCAUUGAAGAAAACUUUGUGGAGUCAUUUUUUCCUGCCCAGAUGGAUAGAAGUGUUAUGAUCGAUGGAUUCCUCUUUUUGACUAUGUUGGUGAAGGUCGCGAAGUAUUGUUCAUCAGAGGGGGAGAUAUAGAUCUGGUAGGCAGAAGGGUCGAGCCAAGCAAAAGCACAGAGAAGGUGAGUAAACAAAGCAGAGUUUAUAUCAGGAACUGGGGAUUCAUUACCGGAGUACCAAUAACCUGCUUUGACCCAGGUCUGUGAGUUCGAAAGGCGGAAAUGGAAAGCAAUAAACAAGAGGAGGGCAAUAUUUUUGGAAGCCAUUGAAGAAAGCUAGCUACCCUCAUGCUUGUUAGCAGAUCUUUAAAUAACCUGGGCAAAAGUCCAAUUAACUACCCCACUUAAUGGGACGCAGGUUCCUUAAUUUAUUGGCUGAUGGUUUAGCAGGCUGGAAACUUCACCAACCAAACAGAAGACGAACAAUACAGAAGAGAUAUCUAAAGUCGUUCCUACCUAACCUCAUUUGGCUAAAUAUCUGAAGUCUAGGUUUGAAAUUUCAUAGCCUAACAUAAGACAAAGUCUUGCAUUCUGAUCCUUUCAGAUGCUUGCUCCCAUCUGCUUUUUCUUCCUUCCUCUCAUUUCCCGGAACCUACAAAAGAAUGAAUCUAAUCUUGACCUCUUCUCUUAUAUUUGAAAAGUAGUUAAUAACAUCUGUCGUUUUUAUUCAGUACAAACAAAAUCAAAACAACGUAGUCCGCUUUUCCCUUGAUUUAUGCUAUUUUUCCUUGUUAUUUCAUAAAUAUUAUAUGACAAAAUAUUUUUAUUUCAUUAACAUAUAAUAAUAUUCACAAAAUAAAUAGAUAUUUUAUUCAAUAUUAAUAUACAAAAUCUCUAGUUGUGUUCAGUUCUCCGGAAAUACUAAAAAAAGAAAAAAAAAUACAAAAGAAAAUGAUUUUUUUAUAUUUGAUUAUCCUAUAAAAAAUAUAAAAGAAAAUAAAAUAUAAUUAAAAUUUUAAGUAUAUUUAAAUUAUUUAAUCUUUAUAUCGAUAAGUUAAAAUAAAUAAAAUGAGUUUAAAGUAACAAAUAUAAAUAAUUUAUCGACUUUUAAUCUAUUUUUUAUUUUUCUUUCCUUUUACUUUUUCUUUACAUUUUCUUUCCCUUCCAUUUUCCCUCAGAUUUUUUAGAACCAAACAUAGCUUAUAUAUCACAUACCUUCUAAACCUAUAAAUAAUAAAACAUAAUUUCUUAAUCUAAACUAUAAAAUAUUUAUACUGGUUCAAACCAUUUUUCUACAUGGACAAAGCUAUAGCAGAAGUUGAAGAUGUGCGUGGAAUUUCGCUCCUGUUUCUAGUUCUAAUGAAUCAUAACUAGGUUAUCUAACUGAAAAAAGAGCAUACUUAGUCAAAUCAGUAAUCGAGCGAGGAGCUCCCUAAUUCCUUUUCCUACAUUUCCUGUUCGCCCCCUAUCAAG
RNAcentral lists this long non-coding RNA (8136 nucleotides) under Vitis vinifera (wine grape). RNAcentral describes it as "long non-coding RNA (VVIN_LNC007813)". The record is from RNAcentral. Lineage: Eukaryota; Viridiplantae; Streptophyta; Magnoliopsida; Vitales; Vitaceae.